UACGUAGGCAGCGAGCGUUGUUCGGAGUUACUGGGCGUAAAGAGUGCGUAGGCGGUUUCGUAAGUCUGGUGUGAAAUCUCCCGGCUCAACUGGGAGGGUGCGCCGGAAACUGCGAGGCUGGAGUGUGGGAGAGGCAAGCGGAAUUCCGGGUGUAGCGGUGGAAUGCGUAGAGAUCCGGAAGAACACCGGUGGCGAAGGCGGCCUGCUGGGACAUGGCUGACGCUGAGGCGCGACAGCGUGGGGAGCAAACAGG
RNAcentral lists this ribosomal RNA (253 nucleotides) under uncultured bacterium. RNAcentral describes it as "partial 16S ribosomal RNA". It matches the Rfam family "Bacterial small subunit ribosomal RNA", at positions 524 to 776 of the family's 1533-position model. The record is from RNAcentral.